Molecule: ribosomal RNA, 497 nt
Filed under: uncultured bacterium
Lineage: Bacteria
Description: partial 16S ribosomal RNA
Rfam family: Bacterial small subunit ribosomal RNA
Source: RNAcentral
GAUGAACGCUGGCGGCGUGCCUAAUACAUGCAAGUCGAGCGAACAGACGAGGAGCUUGCUCCUCUGACGUUAGCGGCGGACGGGUGAGUAACACGUGGAUAACCUACCUAUAAGACUGGGAUAACUUCGGGAAACCGGAGCUAAUACCGGAUAAUAUAUUGAACCGCAUGGUUCAAUAGUGAAAGACGGUUUUGCUGUCUCUUAUAGAUGGAUCCGCGCCGCAUUAGCUAGUUGGUAAGGUAACGGCUUACCAAGGCUACGAUGCGUAGCCGACCUGAGAGGGUGAUCGGCCAAACUGGAACAGAGACACGGUACAGACUACUACGGGAGGCAGCAGUAGGGAAUAUUCCGCAAUGGGCGAAAGCCUGACGGAGCAACGCCGAGUGAGUGAUGAAGGUCUUCGGAUCGUAAAACUCUGUUAUUAGGGAAGAACAAAUGUGUAAGUAAAUAUGCACGUAUUGACGGUACCUAAUCAGAAAGCAACGGCUAACUACGUG